AGAACGAACGCUGGCGGCAUGCCUAACACAUGCAAGUCGAACGUGAUCCAGGCUUCGGCCUGGUGAAAGUGGCAGACGGGUGAGUAACGCGUGGGAACCUGCCCUGUGGUAGGGAAUAACCGUGGGAAACUGCGGCUAAUACCCUAUGAGUCCUUCGGGAGAAAGAUUUAUCGCCAUAGGAGGGGCCCGCGUCGGAUUAGGUAGUUGGUGGGGUAACGGCCUACCAAGCCUUCGAUCCGUAGCUGGUCUGAGAGGAUGAUCAGCCACACUGGGACUGAGAUACGGCCCAGACUCCUACGGGAGGCAGCAGUGGGGAAUAUUGGACAAUGGGGGCAACCCUGAUCCAGCAAUGCCGCGUGGAUGAUGAAGGCCUUCGGGUUGUAAAGUCCUUUCGGCGGGGAAGAUGAUGACGGUACCGCAGAGAAGCCCCGGCUAACUUCGUGCCAGCAGCCGC
This 454-nucleotide ribosomal RNA is filed under the name uncultured bacterium. RNAcentral describes it as "SSU rRNA". It matches the Rfam family "Bacterial small subunit ribosomal RNA", at positions 26 to 518 of the family's 1533-position model. The record is from RNAcentral.